RNAcentral lists this small RNA (18 nucleotides) under Arabidopsis thaliana (thale cress). RNAcentral describes it as "ATSL063890". Lineage: Eukaryota; Viridiplantae; Streptophyta; Magnoliopsida; Brassicales; Brassicaceae. The record is from RNAcentral.
AAGAGGGAAAAGAGAAGA